RNAcentral lists this transfer RNA (67 nucleotides) under Unio tumidus. RNAcentral describes it as "tRNA-Arg". Lineage: Eukaryota; Metazoa; Mollusca; Bivalvia; Unionida; Unionidae. The record is from RNAcentral.
AAGAAGAAAGCUUAUUACCAGCAAUAUGGUUUCGGCCCAUAAAAUGAAUUUAAAAAUUCUCUUCUUU